GUGCUGCCAUCUGUGUUUCUAUGUUUGUCGCCUUGUUUGAGCACAUCUCAGAACAAUCAUUUCUUCAUAUCAGAAGCACACUCUCAAGACAUCGGGACGCCAAGGGCCAAACUGUGCAGUCAACACAGCUGAACAUCAUGUAUGAACUGAACGACAUCUAUGCCAAUGUGGAGGACCUGUCGGGCAAACGAAGGAGUAUAUCCCAAAGCUCUGAAGUGUUUAUGAAAAUGUGAUGAUCAACACUCUGAAGCCAAGCAGAAGUGGACCCUCGCCCUCAGGUGUUGGAGAUGUGAAGAAGAGUUCCUUUAGAGCCGUGGCAGUGCUUCUGGGUCUCCUGAGUUUCUUCCUUCUGACAGGACUCAUAACUUCGGUUUGCCUGUUCACCAAAGGCAUCUCACAGAGGGAAAUGGAGAUAAUCCUGUUACAGACCAGUUACACCAACCUGACUAAAGAAAGAGACAACCUCUUGAAAGGAGUUCAACACUUGGGCAAUGAACUAAAUAUUUGUCUCACAAAGAUACAAAGUAAGUGUGUAUUUCUUAGUUCUUGCAGUCCAAACGAAUAGCUUGAACCCCACUUACUGUUAUCACCAUGGCUGUAGUGGAGAGAACGUUUACACACACACACACACACACACACACACACACACACACACACACACACACACACACACACACACACACACACACACACACACACACACACGUGGAUCCACCCGCCUGUUCGAUGGAUUCAUUAGCUACGUUGACUUUUGGAGCUUUCUCUUGAUGGUUAAGUGUUAACUUGCAGGAUGGCUUUUUUCAUACUAUACGGUUCAGCUGUAACACCCUGGGCCUUCUAAGGUCCUAUAGAGGUCCUUUCUUUUGUCUCCCCCUCAACCCCCAUCAUUUUUUUGAGGGCUACACAUACUUUUCUACUGUUUUCUUGAAAUGUAAUAAACUACAAACACAUGUAUUCACUGUCAUUGAUUGUAUAUUACUUUAACUGAUAACAUAAUGCAAUAUAGCCAAGACAGCCUUACAGAGUCGCAACGCUUUGUGUUGCGCUGCAUCGCACCGAGGUCUGUAUGAUCAGACAAUUCAUAGUUUACCCACCUCUAAUUUUACCCCUACAGCACUGGUUAUAACUCUUCUCUGUGAUCAAAGAGUAACUUUACCUUAACUUGACUUAACUCUCAAUCCCUUUCGACAGCUUAAAACCAAUGUAUUUAGUAUUGUUGUUUAUGUAUUCAGAUCAAAAUGUUGAUGUUUGAGUGCAAAGUAUUUGAAUCUUACUUCAGCCACAACUGUCGCGUUCAGUAACUUUGGUAAACUCACGUCUUUUCAACAAUUUAGUCUUCGUUUUCAAAAAUGUACGUAUUGGUCAGACUUAACCAGGGGCCACGCUAGUUUUGAGGAGCGAAGCCAAAGCAGUAGUGUCCUAAGCUUAUAUUCUUUCUGCUGACCAGCAGGGGGAGACUCCUCUGCUUCCAAAACGAAGUCAAGUAUUGAUGAGAAAAUGACCCUACUUGUCACUUAAUUUAGUACCGUAGUAAACAUUGUUUCAAUUGCUAGUUUUAAAUCUUCUUAAACACAGUGUGAUUGUCAUUCUGUGAAUUAUGGUCCAUUUAGAGUAAUACAGAACAUAAGGGGGAUCAUGCUUUAGAGCUACUUUGUGAUUGAAAGGUCGACACCUUUACACGUUUCUCUCCCCAAAGUCCGUAUUGUAAGAUGUCCGAAUUGUGGAAAUUCAAGGCUUCAAAAUGGUACUUUUAUAAUCAAAUUCUUUUGUAAUUCAACAUCAGAGGGGUUUUCCUUUAUCCAGACUCAGUCUGAGUAGUGCAGCAUUUUGCUUUUACGGCUCAUGGAUAUUGUACUAUGGUCCAAACUUUGUUUCUUAACUACCUGGCUAUUGUUUUCCCCCCAAUUUAAAGCAAAUGCGUUAUCCAACCAAAGACGGGCGUAUAAUGGCGUAUUUCAUGGACGGGUAAGAAGAGAUGGAAAUGGGUGGAUGGGACGCCGCUGACCAAAAGGUGAAUGACUUUACUCAUCUGUUGUAGGCCAGGCCCUUACCAAUACGUACAAUAAGCUUUCUUUCAUUGUUCUGUUAUUUACAAGUCAACCCUUCUGAACAUUACAAUAACGUUUCGACCCCCAUUAAAAAAAAACAUGAUGGAUCUCAAAAGGUUGUGAAAUGCAUCUGUAAAAAAAAAUUCUAGUUGACCCUGGAUGAAAAAUCACAGGAGAUUUAUUUUAAUACUUGCAGGUCGGAGCAGAGUUGAAGAGGGUCGCGGGGGGGCUGGAGUCCAUCCCAGCCAACUUCGGGCGAUAGACAGGGUACAUCCUGGAUUGGUCGCCAGCCAAUCGCAGGGCUACACAGAGACAUAUAACCAUUCACACUCACACAUCUACGGGCAAUUUAGAGUCCCCAAUUAACCUGAUCCCCAGAGCAUGUCUUUGGACUGUGGGAGGAAGCCGGAGAACCCGGAGAGAACCCACGCAGACACGGGGAGAACAUGCAGACUCCACACAGAAAGGCCACUGGGCGGAAUCGAACCCAGGACCUUCUUGCUGUGAGGCAACAGUGCUAACCACCAUGCCACCGUGCCGCCCUCUUAAUAAAUAUGUGGUCAAUUUUAUGUUUCCUGCCCUAUUUUAACUUCUACUUCUUCUACAUACAAGUAUUGACAAGUAUUUUUGGGUUGAAUAUAGUUUUGACCCAGUUCUAUAAUUUUUUGGAAUAAACAUUUGCUUUCAUUCUUCACUUAAAUAUAUUUUUACAUAUUCGCUUUGUUAUAUGUUUAGGAUUUCAGAUAUAUAUUUUUAGAGUAUUUCCCUCCAGCUCAUACCUUUACAAACAGACAUGUAUAACAGACAUACUGAAGGUUUUGCAUAUAUACUGUGCUCAGUGGACAAAUAUAUAAAUGCCAUAACUGCCAUUUGACAAGGUUGUACAAUGUGCUUAAUUACUUGUUUGAUUUUUCCCCCCCACUGGGUUUCUGCCCAAGACUUGGUCGCUCAUCGUCAUAUUCUACUGCCUCCUCCUGGUUUCCUUUGUAUUUGAUGUGUCUUCCCUCUUUUGUUCCCUAUUUGUCAAGAGUGAGCUGAUAUUCUCCCCUAUUCAAUCAAUUCAGAGGAUGUCAAAUAGGGGAAUAAAUAGUUAUGCUGAAAGACAAUAUCCGACUCUCACUUAAAACUUUUUCACUUUA
This is a long non-coding RNA of Gasterosteus aculeatus aculeatus (three-spined stickleback), 3187 nucleotides long. Lineage: Eukaryota; Metazoa; Chordata; Actinopteri; Perciformes; Gasterosteidae. The record is from Ensembl.